This 73-nucleotide transfer RNA is filed under the name Enterococcus phage iF6. RNAcentral describes it as "tRNA-Ala". The record is from RNAcentral. Lineage: Duplodnaviria; Heunggongvirae; Uroviricota; Caudoviricetes; Herelleviridae.
UGGAGCAUAGCGGACUUGAACCGCUGACAUCUACCUUGCAAAAGUAGCGCUCUCCCAACUGAGCUAAUGCCCC